UACGUAGGCAGCGAGCGUUGUUCGGAGUUACUGGGCGUAAAGGGUGUGUAGGCGGUUGUUUAAGUUUGGUGUGAAAUCUCCCGGCUCAACCGGGAGGGUGCGCCGAAUACUGAAUGACUAGAGUGCGGGAGAGGAAAGUGGAAUUCCUGGUGUAGCGGUGAAAUGCGUAGAUAUCAGGAGGAACACCGGUGGUGUAGACGGCUUUCUGGACCAUAACUGACGCUGAGACACGAAAGCGUGGGUAGCAAACAGG
This 253-nucleotide ribosomal RNA is filed under the name uncultured bacterium. Its description in RNAcentral is "partial 16S ribosomal RNA". It matches the Rfam family "Bacterial small subunit ribosomal RNA", at positions 524 to 776 of the family's 1533-position model. The record is from RNAcentral.